Molecule: long non-coding RNA, 251 nt
Filed under: Manacus vitellinus (golden-collared manakin)
Lineage: Eukaryota; Metazoa; Chordata; Aves; Passeriformes; Pipridae
Description: lncRNA (ENSMVIG00005013762.1)
Source: RNAcentral
AGCAAAAGAAGAAGCUGCAUAGUGACAUAGUUGUACUGGAGGCUUCAGUAACUCUUCUCUGUCUUUCUGUGAAUGGGACUGUUCUUUUAUGGCAAGAAUCCUGGGGGAUAAAAUCUCCAGGCAUGUAUAUCAUGCAAAUAUGCAUAACAACAUUGCUGAAGAGGCUGACUUGUCCCUGCAGUCCAGACUGCACCAACUGAGCGACUUCAAUUAAACAGUUUCUCGCAUUUUGUGUUGAGAUCUGAGCUGCU